UCGACGUCGACGCAGUGUUCGCUGCUGCCACCGCUGCUGCACUCGCCGACGUCAGU
This 56-nucleotide microRNA precursor is filed under the name Drosophila sechellia. RNAcentral's name for it is "microRNA dse-mir-9685 precursor". The record is from miRBase by way of RNAcentral. Lineage: Eukaryota; Metazoa; Arthropoda; Insecta; Diptera; Drosophilidae.